CACCGGUGCCUCGGAUCCCUCCGAGGUUAAACGGGAACACGGCGCGGAGAGUCCCUCUCCCAUGCCGUGGCUGCCCCCGCAACUGUAAGCGGCGAGCGGCGAUCCCUCAUGCCACUGGCUCUACAAGCGCCUCCGGCGCUGCGGAGUUCGGGAAGGCGGAUCGUGCGCGAUGACCCGCGAGCCAGGAGACCGGCCGGAGC
RNAcentral lists this non-coding RNA (200 nucleotides) under Microvirga massiliensis. The record is from RNAcentral. Lineage: Bacteria; Pseudomonadati; Pseudomonadota; Alphaproteobacteria; Hyphomicrobiales; Methylobacteriaceae.